Molecule: long non-coding RNA, 565 nt
Filed under: Homo sapiens (human)
Lineage: Eukaryota; Metazoa; Chordata; Mammalia; Primates; Hominidae
Description: non-protein coding lnc-HIBADH-1:3
Source: RNAcentral
CUCUUCCGCCUCCUGCCUGGUUCGCCGCUCCCCUCCGCGACGACACGCCCCCAGCCCACUCCGCCGCGGGACGCCUCAUCCCGCGGGUACCCUUCACAGGUUUAACAGCCUCCACCCCUCGGGCACCAAGCAGUGUUAUCCAGGAAAAAAAAAAAAAAAGAGACUGAUUCUCAGUAGUAAUCUCUGUGCCUGUGAGGAACUUAAUGCAAGUCUCAGGAUCUCAAAAUAAGACCUACGAGCAUAAAGUAAUGAGUCUGUCAAGCUGGAUUUCCAUGCAUGGGGGAGGAUCUCUUUAAGUAAGGAAACUUCCUUGUGCUUCUUUAAGCACAGUUGCUAUCAUUCCGGGAGAAGCUCCUUUUAACCCAUAUCUUCUUCCAACUAGCAUCCUAUUUUUUUUCUUUCCUUCCCAGCUGAACUUCUUAAGGACCAACCUAUAUGAUGUGAUAUUUUAGAUAUUAACCUAUUUUUCUUGGUAUUCCUUGUAUAGCUUGCCACUUUCCCAACCCUCACCCAUAGGUUUGUUGCAUUGAAGAAAGGAUGUAGAAGGAAAAUCUUUCUGGCUUUU